Molecule: long non-coding RNA, 902 nt
Filed under: Homo sapiens (human)
Lineage: Eukaryota; Metazoa; Chordata; Mammalia; Primates; Hominidae
Description: HSALNT0228192
Source: RNAcentral
GUCCAGGCAGCUGUCGAUGUCCAGCACCUACUGCCCGGCAGGUGUGGGGCUCAGGCUCCCAGCCACCUGCAGGACGACGGCAGUGGUCAGCGGGCGGCAGCUCAGACCUGCUCAGGACAGGGAUGAGAAGCCACCUCCUCAGCAGACAGGACAGAGCCCGGUGCCAUCUAACAGAAUGUCCUAGAAUGCUGGAUAUAUGGGACAUCUGCACCGUCCGUGAUGGCAGCCCCUCGCGACAUGUGCCACUGAACACUUGACAGCAGACUGGUGCAGCUAAGGAACAGAGUUUUGAAUUUCAUUUUUUUUUUUUUUUUAAGAUGGAGUCUCGCUCUGUCACCCAGGCAGGAGUGCACUGGCGCAAUCUCAGCUCACUGCAACCUCCACCUCCCGCGUUCAGGCGAUUGUCCUGGCUCAGCCUCCUGAGUAGCUGGGAUUACAGGUGCCUGCCACGAUGCCCAGCUAAUUUUUUGUAUUUUUAGUAGAGACGGGGUUUCACUGUGUUGGCCAGGCUGGUCUUGGAACUCCUGACCUCAAGUGAUCUGCCCGCCUCCGCCUCCCAAAGUGCUGGGAUUACAGGUGUGAGCCACCACGCCCGGCCAACGUUCCAUUUUAAUUAACUUAAAUACGAGCAGCCACAUGUGGCCUCUGGUUCCUGCCACGGACUCGGGAGCAACCCCUCCUGGUCGCGGCUUAUGCGCCUUCUCUGUGUGCUGCUGGGGUUAGUUUGCAUGUAACCUCUUGAGGACCCCACGUGUGCAUUCCUAAGGGGUGCGGCCUCCCGUUUCCGUAUGAAUGGGAAGAGUUCCCACCUGCUGUAUUCUUGGAAAGAGUCUGUGAAGGAUUGGUGUUAAUUCUUCCUUAACUGCUUAGAAAAAUUCUAUCGUGAAGGCUCUGAGCCCAAG